Molecule: transfer RNA, 550 nt
Filed under: Bradyrhizobium sp. Am20101
Lineage: Bacteria; Pseudomonadati; Pseudomonadota; Alphaproteobacteria; Hyphomicrobiales; Nitrobacteraceae
Description: partial 16S-23S ribosomal RNA intergenic spacer
Rfam family: tRNA (bases 60-132)
Source: RNAcentral
GUUCAAGUCUUCCCAGGCCCACCAUUUUGAUCGAGUGCGGAGCAUUCGUCUUCUGGUACGGGGCCAUAGCUCAGCUGGGAGAGCGCGUGCUUUGCAAGCAUGAGGUCGUCGGUUCGAUCCCGUCUGGCUCCACCAGAUGGAAUUGAAGCUCGAGAAUGCCUCGUCAAAUUCGUCCGCGAAACAUCACUUCGCACUCAUUGGUCCGGAUGGACGGUGACGUGCGUGUUUUCUGACAUCGUAAAGAGGAGAUCGAUCCGAGUUUGGAUCUGCGAAGCAAUUCGCGGGUACCAUUCCUAAUCUCCAAAUCGUUUUCGGCGCUCGUUCAUCGCUACUCAUCGCAAGAUGAGUGAGAUGAUCGAGUUGUAAAACGAUUUUUGUAGCGAAGCUUGACCGCCUCGCUAUCGGGCCGAUCUUACGAAGCAAGCUGGUCUUUCUAGUCAAUGUCCGGCUGUGCAAUCGCAUUCAUCGAGGAUGCGCGCCUGAGACUUCGGUCUUUGGGCAAUUACACAGACAACAUUCUGCCGAGUGUGUGGACAUUGAUAAUGAGAGC